Molecule: ribosomal RNA, 300 nt
Filed under: uncultured Rubellimicrobium sp.
Lineage: Bacteria; Pseudomonadati; Pseudomonadota; Alphaproteobacteria; Rhodobacterales; Roseobacteraceae
Description: bacterial SSU rRNA
Rfam family: Bacterial small subunit ribosomal RNA
Source: RNAcentral
CGCGUGGGAACGUGCCCUUUGCUCUGGAAUAGCCCUGGGAAACCGGGGGUAAUACCGGAUGUGCCCUGAGGGGGAAAGGCUUCGGCCGGCAAGGGAUCGGCCCGCGUCUGAUUAGGUAGUUGGUGUGGUAACGGCGCACCAAGCCGACGAUCGGUAGCUGGUUUGAGAGGAUGAUCAGCAACACUGGGACUGAGACACGGCCCAGACUCCUACGGGAGGCAGCAGUGGGGAAUCUUAGACAAUGGGCGCAAGCCUGAUCUAGCCAUGCCGCGUGGGUGAUGAAGGCCUUAGGGUCGUAAA